Nicotiana attenuata is the source of this 246-nucleotide long non-coding RNA. RefSeq lists it as uncharacterized. Lineage: Eukaryota; Viridiplantae; Streptophyta; Magnoliopsida; Solanales; Solanaceae. The transcript has 3 exons. The record is from RefSeq and is a predicted model, not a curated record.
CUAGUUAAAGCUAAGGUAGCGUAAAAGAUGGCGGUGUCGAUAGAUGGUUUCUCCAUCAGGGAGUAUACUGCAAAAAUGAGGAGUGUGGACGUGGUGAAAUGCUGGCCGUUCGAUGAAUCAACCAAGGAAGUUCAUGUGAGAGCUAUGUUACCUCCAAUUGCCGUGAAGAAAUUCAGCUGGUGGCUUGAUGUACUGGAAUUAUCAGAUGAUAAUGUGGAUUCUGAUGUUAUUCCAGUGACGAGAAUU